GACGCUGGCGGCCUGCCUUCACAUGCAUUCACCUCGGCGGGAGAAAAUACUUGCACCUUUCUCUCGAGUGGCGAAAAGGUGAGUAAUACAUCGGAACAUGUCCUGUAGUGGGGGAUUUUUCCCCGAAAGCCGGAUUAAUACCGCAUACGAUCCACGGAUGAAAGCGGGGGACCUUCGGGCCUCGCGCUAUAGGGUUGGCCGAUGGCUGAUUAGCUAGUUGGUGGGGUAAAGGCCUACCAAGGCGACGAUCAGUAGCUGGUCUGAGAGGACGACCAGCCACACUGGGACUGAGACACGGCCCAGACUCCUACGGGAGGCAGCAUUGGGGAAUUUUGGACAAUGGGCGAAAGCCUGAUCCAGCAAUGCCGCGUGUGUGAAGAAGGCCUUCGGGUUGUAAAGCACUUUUGUCCGGAAAGAAAUCCUUGGCUCUAAUACAGUCGGGGGAUGACGGUACCGGAAGAAUAAGCACCGGCUAACUACGUGCCAGCAGCCGCGGUAAUACGUAGGGUGCAAGCGUUAAUCGGAAUUACUGGGCGUAAAGCGUGCGCAGGCGGUUUGCUAAGACCGAUGUGAAAUCCCCGGGCUCAACCUGGGAACUGCAUUGGUGACUGGCAGGCUAGAGUAUG
Molecule: ribosomal RNA, 626 nt
Filed under: Burkholderia cepacia
Lineage: Bacteria; Pseudomonadati; Pseudomonadota; Betaproteobacteria; Burkholderiales; Burkholderiaceae
Description: bacterial SSU rRNA
Rfam family: Bacterial small subunit ribosomal RNA
Source: RNAcentral